This 229-nucleotide ribosomal RNA is filed under the name uncultured bacterium. RNAcentral describes it as "partial 16S ribosomal RNA". It matches the Rfam family "Bacterial small subunit ribosomal RNA", at positions 568 to 796 of the family's 1533-position model. The record is from RNAcentral.
UCCGUAGGCGGAUUAAUAAGUCAGAGGUGAAAUCCCACGGCUUAACUGUGGAACUGCCUUUGAUACUGUUAGUCUUGAGUUAUAUGGAAGUAGAUAGAAUGUGUAGUGUAGCGGUGAAAUGCAUAGAGAUUACACAGAAUACCGAUUGCGAAGGCAGUCUACUACGUAUAUACUGACGCUAAUGGACGAAAGCGUGGGGAGCGAACAGGAUUAGAUACCCUGGUAGUCC